This 1313-nucleotide long non-coding RNA is filed under the name Lathyrus oleraceus (garden pea). Its description in RNAcentral is "Pisum sativum (pea) long non-coding RNA (PSAT_LNC003475)". Lineage: Eukaryota; Viridiplantae; Streptophyta; Magnoliopsida; Fabales; Fabaceae. The record is from RNAcentral.
AUACAUUAGUUAUUGCAAUGUAAUUACAAGUUGCUUGCAGGAGCCAUUAUAAAAUAGAGGGAUUUCAAUUAAGUAGUAACUAAUACAGUCAAAUUUAUACAGUGAUUUUUCAAAGAAAAACUUAAAAGAAAUUCAAUUAUAUCAGUUACAUAUUUGUCCAAUUUUGCAGUAACCCAAAAAAGUAACACAGUUGAUCCUGUCAUUUGAUGUUGCUUCUGUCUUUGAGCAGAAAAGCAUUUUUGUCUUGUUGCUGCAGAAACUACAUAAUGCAGUUAACACAUAGUUAACACAUUUUAAUUACUUAAGAUUUGAACCAAGAAGUCAAAUUGCAAAAGAGUAUAGCAGAGUGUCACAAUUUUAGAAUUCAAUAGAAAUUUGCUCAUAUAGCAUAAGAUGAAUCAUGUUAUAUUAUUAUAUCAGACAAAAAUCCUAUGACUUUUCACUGUAAAACAUAAGCAUCCACAGAGCAAAUUUUCAACAAAAAAAACCACAUCGAAACUCAAUAGCAAAACUCAAAAUUCCAAAGAAAAAGUCAUAAAACUUCACAACCAGAAUCAUCAAAAUCAUAAAUAUCAGCCACCACAUGAAGAACACAUAUACUUUCUGAAAAAAGCUUUCACGUUAAGACAAACAAAACCUUAACCACAUAGUUCAAAUACACUUCACAAAAAAUAGAGUAACAACAAUCCAAUUGUUCCAAACCUAAGAAAUUCCAUAGAAGAAGAGACCACGAGCAUAAGGAGUAGAAGGGAGAGGAUUCAUGCUUACCUGAAGUGGAAACCACCGUCGUAAUUAGAACUCGCCAGACCAGCUCCAGUUACGUGAGUCUUUCGCUUUUUUUUUUAGUUUCUUGAUACCACUUUGUUCCUUGCGUUGUGCUGAUCAAAAUCCCCCAUAAAAAUUGAUUGAAACUGUGUUUCAUGGUUGUUUAAUUUCACUUUGAUUGUUUAGGUUUUAUAUGUAGAAUUUGAAAUUAAAUGAUUUUGGUAAGAAAUUGGUAAAUUUUGAGAUCGGAUUCGUAAUGAGGGAGAAGAGACGGUUAAAUUGGUAUACUAAUUUCUCAUUUCCGGCCACCGUCGCCGGAACCCAUGACGAAGGCGGAGUUAUUUCGGCCAUGUGAGAGAAAGAAACGAAGCUGGUGAAAGAAAGAGAAAUAGACGUUCUGAUUGUUUUAUUUUCUUCUUUUCUUUCUUUUAUUUCAUUUAAGUAGUUUCUUUUAUUUUGUUUUUUUAAAUCCAUUGCCACUUGUCACCAUAUGAUAGGAUGACUUGUUUUUCUUAUUUUUCAAAGUAAAUGAGAUUUUGUUGUUUACU